RNAcentral lists this ribosomal RNA (664 nucleotides) under uncultured bacterium. Its description in RNAcentral is "bacterial SSU rRNA". It matches the Rfam family "Bacterial small subunit ribosomal RNA", at positions 61 to 723 of the family's 1533-position model. The record is from RNAcentral.
GUCGAACGAAGCACCUUAUUUGAUUUUCUUCGGAACUGAAGAUUUGGUGACCGAUUGGCGGACGGGUGAGUAACGCGUGGGUAACCUGCCCUGUACAGGGGGAUAACAAUCAGAAAUGACUGCUAAUACCGCAUAAGACCACAGCACCGCAUGGUGCAGGGGUAAAAACUCCGGUGGUACAGGAUGGACCCGCGUCUGAUUAGCUGGUUGGUGAGGUAACGGCUCACCAAGGCGACGAUCAGUAGCCGGCUUGAGAGAGUGAACGGCCACAUUGGGACUGAGACACGGCCCAAACUCCUACGGGAGGCAGCAGUGGGGAAUAUUGCACAAUGGGGGAAACCCUGAUGCAGCGACGCCGCGUGAGUGAAGAAGUAUCUCGGUAUGUAAAGCUCUAUCAGCAGGGAAGAAAAUGACGGUACCUGACUAAGAAGCCCCGGCUAACUACGUGCCAGCAGCCGCGGUAAUACGUAGGGGGCAAGCGUUAUCCGGAAUUACUGGGUGUAAAGGGUGCGUAGGUGGUAUGGCAAGUCAGAAGUGAAAACCCAGGGCUUAACUCUGGGACUGCUUUUGAAACUGUCAGACUGGAGUGCAGGAGAGGUAAGCGGAAUUCCUAGUGUAGCGGUGAAAUGCGUAGAUAUUAGGAGGAACAUCAGUGGCGAAGGCG